This 497-nucleotide ribosomal RNA is filed under the name uncultured bacterium. RNAcentral describes it as "partial 16S ribosomal RNA". It matches the Rfam family "Bacterial small subunit ribosomal RNA", at positions 28 to 507 of the family's 1533-position model. The record is from RNAcentral.
GAUGAACGCUGGCGGCGUGCCUAAUACAUGCAAGUCGAGCGAACAGACGAGGAGCUUGCUCCUCUGACGUUAGCGGCGGACGGGUGAGUAACACGUGGAUAACCUACCUAUAAGACUGGGAUAACUUCGGGAAACCGGAGCUAAUACCGGAUAAUAUAUUGAACCGCAUGGUUCAAUAGUGAAAGACGGUUUUGCUGUCACUUAUAGAUGGAUCCGCGCCGCAUUAGCUAGUUGGUAAGGUAACGGCUUACCAAGGCAACGAUGCGUAGCCGACCUGAGAGGGUGAUCGCCCACACUAGAACUGGAACGCGGUCCAGACUCCUACGGGAGGCAGCAGUAGGGAAUCUUCCGCAAUGGGCGAAAGCUUGGCGGAGCAACGCCGCGUGAGUGAUGAAGGUCUUCGGAUCGUAAAACUCUGUUAUUAGGGAAGAACAAAUGUGUAAGUAACUAUGCACGUCUUGACGGUACCUAAUCAGAAAGCCACGGCUAACUACGUG